RNAcentral lists this long non-coding RNA (865 nucleotides) under Monodelphis domestica (gray short-tailed opossum). Its description in RNAcentral is "lncRNA (ENSMODG00000048310.1)". Lineage: Eukaryota; Metazoa; Chordata; Mammalia; Didelphimorphia; Didelphidae. The record is from RNAcentral.
AUAAAAGCAUAUAUUCAGAUUUAAAGGUAUAUUAAAGAUCAUUCAGUUCAAAAGAAUCCUAAUCUUUGAUUUACAUUGGAUUAGCAUUAAGGAAAGAAACCUCUCCCAUAAGCUUAUGUGAAAGAAAUCUUGUUUUCAAGGCUGAGGAAAAUAGGUUAAUACCCCUAUAAGAAAACCACAAAAUCUUGAAUUUUAACAUCUAAUUUCUUGACAAAAAGUACACCUAUGGUUGAUGGAUUUUUGUGAUAGUAUAACAGUUGCUGUAUUAUUCUUUUCAGUUGGAAAUUUCAGAAACAGAGGAAGAGACAAAUGCAAGAGGCACAUUAUGUGACCAUUAAUAAUAAUAAUCACAACAGCAACAACAUAUAUUUAGCACUUCAAGGUUUGCAAAAUACUUAACACAGAUUGUGUCAUUUAUCUCUUCUUGAAGUCUUGUGAGGGUCUUCUUGGGAACCCUGCUUUAACCAUGCCCCAGGCCAUCCACUUCCUGACCUCUUUAUUCUUCCCAAGGCAGCCUCAACCAGGUGUAGUGGAGAGAGCAGCAGAUUAAGAAUCAGAGGAGUUCCUGGCUUCAGAUCCCAGCUCUAUGACUUAGGCAAGUCAUUUAACUUUUCUAGGCCUUGUUUUGCUGAUCUAUCAAAUAAAGAAGUUCAUUAGAUGAACUUUAAAUGUUUCUCUUAGUUUUACACUUCUGAUUCACAUUAAAAUUUUCUCUAUCCUCUCUUGGAAACAGGAAAACUAUCUUUAAGAACAAUAUUAAUUUAUCCCAACAUAUUCAUGGGAUUUGUUGUGAUCAAUGUGAGUCAAGCAUGAUACCUGGUACAUAGAAGAUGUCAAAUAAAUACUUGAUUGAUUAAUUAAUACA